Molecule: ribosomal RNA, 253 nt
Filed under: uncultured bacterium
Lineage: Bacteria
Description: partial 16S ribosomal RNA
Rfam family: Bacterial small subunit ribosomal RNA
Source: RNAcentral
UACGGAGGGUGCAAGCGUUAUCCGGAUUUACUGGGUUUAAAGGGUGCGUAGGUGGGUUGGUAAGUCAGUGGUGAAAUACUUUCGCUCAACGAAGGAACUGCCAUUGAUACUAUCAAUCUUGAAUGUAGUGGAGGUAGGCGGAAUGCGUCAUGUAGCGGUGAAAUGCUUAGAUAUGACGCAGAACACCAAUUGCGAAGGCAGCUUGCUACACUACUAUUGACACUGAGGCACGAAAGCGUGGGGAUCAAACAGG